RNAcentral lists this transfer RNA (78 nucleotides) under Chloroflexota bacterium. RNAcentral describes it as "tRNA-Trp". It matches the Rfam family "tRNA". Rfam says of the family: Transfer RNA (tRNA) molecules are approximately 80 nucleotides in length. Their secondary structure includes four short double-helical elements and three loops (D, anti-codon, and T loops). Further hydrogen bonds mediate the characteristic L-shaped molecular structure. tRNAs have two regions of fundamental functional importance: the anti-codon, which is responsible for specific mRNA codon recognition, and the 3' end, to which the tRNAs corresponding amino acid is attached (by aminoacyl-tRNA synthetases). tRNAs cope with the degeneracy of the genetic code in two manners: having more than one tRNA (with a specific anti-codon) for a particular amino acid; and 'wobble' base-pairing, i.e. permitting non-standard base-pairing at the 3rd anti-codon position. Lineage: Bacteria; Bacillati; Chloroflexota. The record is from RNAcentral. RNAcentral also lists the same sequence under 1 other name.
AGGAGUGUAGCUCAGUCUGGGCAGAGCAACGGUCUCCAAAACCGUAGGUCGUGGGUUCGAAUCCCUCCACUCCUGCCA